This 978-nucleotide ribosomal RNA is filed under the name uncultured bacterium. Its description in RNAcentral is "bacterial SSU rRNA". It matches the Rfam family "Bacterial small subunit ribosomal RNA", at positions 8 to 971 of the family's 1533-position model. The record is from RNAcentral.
AGAGUUUGAUCAUGGCUCAGAACGAACGCUGGCGGCGUGGAUAAGACAUGCAAGUCGGACGAGAUUUUUCGUUGUAGCAAUACGAUGGAAAAUUUAGUGGCGAACGGGUGCUUAACACGUGGGCAACCUGCCAUGAAGUGGGGGAUAGCUCGCCGAAAGGCGAAUUAAUACCGCAUGUGAUUAGAGAGGACAUCCUUUCGAAAUUAAAGUCGGGGCAACCUGACGCUUCUUGUGGGGCCCGCGGCCUAUCAGCUAGUUGGUGAGGUAACGGCUCACCAAGGCUUUGACGGGUAGCUGGUCUGAGAGGACGACCAGCCACACUGGGACUGAGACACGGCCCAGACACCUACGGGUGGCAGCAGUCGAGAAUUUUUGACAAUGGGGGAAACCCUGAUCGAGCGACGCCGCGUGGAGGAUGAAGGUCUUCGGAUUGUAAACUCCUGUCAUUGGGGAACAAGGUGCAUACGUUAACUGCGUGCGCAUUGAUAGUACCCGAAGAGGAAGAGACGGCUAACUCUGUGCCAGCAGCCGCGGUAAUACAGAGGUCUCAAGCGUUGUUCGGAUUCAUUGGGCGUAAAGGGUGCGUAGGCGGCGCGGUAAGUCGGGUGUGAAAUCUCGGAGCUUAACUCCGAAACUGCAUUCGAUACUGCCGUGCUUGAGGACUGGAGAGGAGACUGGAAUUUACGGUGUAGCGGUGAAAUGCGUAGAUAUCGUAAGGAAGACCAGUGGCGAAAGCGGGUCUCUGGACAGUUCCUGACGCUGAGGCACGAAAGGUCAGGGGAGCAAACGGGAUUAGAUACCCCGGUAGUCCUGACAGUAAACGGUGCACGUUUGGUGUGGGAGGAUUCGACCCCUUCUGCGCCGGAGCUAACGCGUUAAACGUGCCGCCUGGGAGUACGGUCGCAAGAUUAAAACUCAAGAUUGACGGGGCCGCACAGCGUGGAGUAUGUGGCUCAUUCGAUGCAACGCGAAGAUCUU